AACGAACGCUGGCGGCGUGCCUAACACAUGCAAGUCGUGCGAGAAAGUUCCUUCGGGAGCGAGUAAAGCGGCGCACGGGUGAGUAACACGUAGGUAAUCUGCCCCCCAGUCUGGAACAACUAGAGGAAACUCUAGCUAAUGCCGGAUGAGACCACGAUCCCUUCGGGGGUUGCGGCCAAAGAUGGCCUCUACUUGUAAGCUAUCGCUGAGGGAUGGGCCUGCGGGCCAUUAGCUUGUUGGUGAGGUAACGGCUCACCAAGGCUGUGAUGGCUAGCUGGUCUGAGAGGAUGACCAGCCACACUGGGACUGAGACACGGCCCAGACUCCUACGGGAGGCAGCAGUGGGGAAUAUUGCGCAAUGGGCGAAAGCCUGACG
RNAcentral lists this ribosomal RNA (376 nucleotides) under uncultured bacterium. RNAcentral's name for it is "bacterial SSU rRNA". It matches the Rfam family "Bacterial small subunit ribosomal RNA", at positions 29 to 388 of the family's 1533-position model. The record is from RNAcentral.